Long non-coding RNA from Cyprinodon tularosa, 991 nucleotides. RefSeq lists it as uncharacterized. The record is from RefSeq and is a predicted model, not a curated record. The transcript is spliced from 2 exons. Lineage: Eukaryota; Metazoa; Chordata; Actinopteri; Cyprinodontiformes; Cyprinodontidae.
GCUGCCUUUAUCAGGAACCUUCAAGCCGUCAUCCCAGCCUUCCAUCCGCUCCUCUCAGCUUGUCUAAUACACAGGGAAGGCCUUUUCACUUUGGCUUACGUGAUAAUUGGCCCCCCUCCAUUUGAAAGCUCCCACUCUUCUCUGUCCAACUCCACAGAGCCAUUAUUCUGAUCUAGAGAUGUGAAAUUACCUAUAAUUUUCCCCGAUGCCCCCCUCCGUCAGCUGGGUUCAGCAUACAGCAGCGCUCGCCUCUUAUUCCCGCAUGUUUAUUAACAAGGCAGCAUAAUGAUCAGGAGUGAGGAGGUGAAAAGGGUGUACAAAGAAGGAGAUGUUAAUAUGUCACAAAACGGCUCGUUAUGAGAGGAAAAAUCAGCUCGGAGGGGUUGAAAAACUGCGCGCCUCUGCUGCGCGUUUUGUUCUUCCCAGAAACAGACGGCUGAGGAGCUCCUGCGCGCCUCAGGCCAGGUAGGCUACAGACGUCAGACUUCCCUAAGGCUGCAGCGAUGGAAGAACCUCGGCGGGGACGGCAUUGGCACCGCUUUGGGGCUUAAAGCUCUGGGCUGAACUGACAGCUUUGUGCCUGCUCCACAUCUGGAUCAAGGAACCCUGUCUGGGACCAUACCCUUGGUGUUUACAGCCCUGUUGUUUUUUCACACUCCUCACAUUAAAAGACAAAUCUCGCCCAACGCACAUUCCAGAGUCACCAGCUCAACGUGGGAGAGAAGCUGUGCAGUUUUCCGGUGUAAAGGCUGCUCACAGUACUUCAUGGUGGUGAAGUAAAGAAGUAAAGAAGAUGGUUCAGAUGACGGCUAAAAACACACUCUGGGAAUCUUCCUCUCUGAACUGGGGUUAAACCAGCUGUUGCUGACUGGCUUUCUGAGGAGAAAGCAACAUUUUCUUUAUAAAAGACAACCACCUUGGUGUGAGCUAACAAACUAUUAAUCUGCUCCACAGAAGUGAGAAAAACUUCCAAUAAAAUCAUUAAAAAAGA